This 468-nucleotide ribosomal RNA is filed under the name uncultured bacterium. Its description in RNAcentral is "partial 16S ribosomal RNA". It matches the Rfam family "Bacterial small subunit ribosomal RNA", at positions 28 to 507 of the family's 1533-position model. The record is from RNAcentral.
GACGAACGCUGGCGGCAUGCUUAACACAUGCAAGUCGAACGGAAAGGCCCUGCUUUUGUGGGGUGCUCGAGUGGCGAACGGGUGAGUAACACGUGAGUAACCUGCCCUUGACUUUGGGAUAACUUCAGGAAACUGGGGCUAAUACCGGAUAGGAGCUCCUGCUGCAUGGUGGGGGUUGGAAAGUUUCGGCGGUUGGGGAUGGACUCGCGGCUUAUCAGCUUGUUGGUGGGGUAGUGGCUUACCGAGGCUUUGACGGGUAGCCGGCCUGAGAGGGUGACCGGCCACAUUGGGACUGAGAUACGGCCCAGACUCCUACGGGAGGCAGCAGUGGGGAAUAUUGCACAAUGGGCGGAAGCCUGAUGCAGCAACGCCGCGUGCGGGAUGACGGCCUUCGGGUUGUAAACCGCUUUCGCCUGUGACGAAGCGUGAGUGACGGUAAUGGGUAAAGAAGCACCGGCUAACUACGUG